RNAcentral lists this ribosomal RNA (811 nucleotides) under uncultured archaeon. RNAcentral's name for it is "bacterial SSU rRNA". It matches the Rfam family "Archaeal small subunit ribosomal RNA", at positions 85 to 879 of the family's 1478-position model. The record is from RNAcentral.
ACUGCUCAGUAACACGUGGCUAACCUACCCUUUGGACGGGGACAACCCCGGGAAACUGGGGCUAAUCCUCGAUAGAGGAGAAGGCCUGGAAUGGUUUCUCAUCUAAAAGGCGUUUAGACCAUGCUUCUGGAUGUCGCCAAAGGAUGGGGGCGCGGCCGAUCAGGUUGUUGGUGAGGUAACGGCUCACCAAGCCUAUAACCGGUACGGGCCGUGAGAGCGGGAGCCCGGAGAUGGGCACUGAGACAAGGGCCCAGGCCCUACGGGGCGCAGCAGUUGCGAAAACUCCGCAAUGCGCGAAAGCGUGACGGGGCUACCCCGAGUGCCGUCCGCUGAGGAUGGCUUUUCCGCGGUGUAAGGAGCCGUGGGAAUAAGGAGAGGGCAAGACUGGUGUCAGCCGCCGCGGUAAUACCAGCUCUCCGAGUGGUGGGGAUGAUUAUUGGGCUUAAAGCGUUCGUAGCCGGCCUGGCAAGUCUUCCGUUAAAUCCAGCGGCCUAAUCGUUGGACUGCGGGAGAUACUGUUAGGCUAGGGGGCGGGAGAAGCCGACGGUACUCUCGGGGUAGGGGUGAAAUCCUGUAAUCCCGGGAGGACCACCAGUGGCGAAGGCGGUCGGCUAGAACGCGCCCGACGGUGAGGGACGAAAGCUGGGGGAGCGAACCGGAUUAGAUACCCGGGUAGUCCCAGCAGUAAACGAUGCGGGCUAGGUGUUGGGGCGGCUACGAGCCGCUUCGGUGCCGCACGGAAGCAAUUAAGCCCGCCGCCUGGGGAGUACGGUCGCAAGGCUGAAACUUAAAGGAAUUGGCGGGGGAGCAC